RNAcentral lists this ribosomal RNA (459 nucleotides) under uncultured bacterium. RNAcentral's name for it is "bacterial SSU rRNA". It matches the Rfam family "Bacterial small subunit ribosomal RNA", at positions 343 to 794 of the family's 1533-position model. The record is from RNAcentral.
GGGAGGCAGCAGUGGGGAAUAUUGGACAAUGGGGGAAACCCUGAUCCAGCAACGCCGCGUGGAGGAUGAAGGUCUUCGGAUUGUAAACUCCUGUUAGGGGGGACGAAGGGAUGCCGGCGAACAGUCGGCAAACUUGACGGUACCCCCAGAGGAAGCCCCGGCUAACUCUGUGCCAGCAGCCGCGGUAAUACAGAGGGGGCAAGCGUUAUUCGGAAUUAUUGGGCGUAAAGGGCGCGUAGGCGGCCCUGUAAGUCUUGGGUGAAAUCCCUCAGCUCAACUGAGGAACUGCCUCGGAUACUGCAGGGCUUGAGGCCGGGAGAGGGUAGUGGAAUUCCCAGUGUAGCGGUGAAAUGCGUAGAUAUUGGGAGGAACACCGGUGGCGAAGGCGGCUACCUGGACCGGUUCUGACGCUGAUGCGCGAAAGCGUGGGGAGCAAACAGGAUUAGAUACCCCGGUAGU